RNAcentral lists this ribosomal RNA (2258 nucleotides) under Staphylococcus aureus HOAG6043. RNAcentral describes it as "bacterial LSU rRNA". It matches the Rfam family "Bacterial large subunit ribosomal RNA", at positions 3 to 2259 of the family's 2925-position model. Lineage: Bacteria; Bacillati; Bacillota; Bacilli; Caryophanales; Staphylococcaceae. The record is from RNAcentral. RNAcentral also lists the same sequence under 1 other name.
UUAAGUUAUUAAGGGCGCACGGUGGAUGCCUUGGCACUAGAAGCCGAUGAAGGACGUUACUAACGACGAUAUGCUUUGGGGAGCUGUAAGUAAGCUUUGAUCCAGAGAUUUCCGAAUGGGGAAACCCAGCAUGAGUUAUGUCAUGUUAUCGAUAUGUGAAUACAUAGCAUAUCAGAAGGCACACCCGGAGAACUGAAACAUCUUAGUACCCGGAGGAAGAGAAAGAAAAUUCGAUUCCCUUAGUAGCGGCGAGCGAAACGGGAAGAGCCCAAACCAAAAAGCUUGCUUGUUGGGGUUGUAGGACACUCUAUACGGAGUUACAAAGGACGACAUUAGACGAAUCAUCUGGAAAGAUGAAUCAAAGAAGGUAAUAAUCCUGUAGUCGAAAAUGUUGUCUCUCUUGAGUGGAUCCUGAGUACGACGGAGCACGUGAAAUUCCGUCGGAAUCUGGGAGGACCAUCUCCUAAGGCUAAAUACUCUCUAGUGACCGAUAGUGAACCAGUACCGUGAGGGAAAGGUGAAAAGCACCCCGGAAGGGGAGUGAAAUAGAACCUGAAACCGUGUGCUUACAAGUAGUCAGAGCCCGUUAAUGGGUGAUGGCGUGCCUUUUGUAGAAUGAACCGGCGAGUUACGAUUUGAUGCAAGGUUAAGCAGUAAAUGUGGAGCCGUAGCGAAAGCGAGUCUGAAUAGGGCGUUUAGUAUUUGGUCGUAGACCCGAAACCAGGUGAUCUACCCUUGGUCAGGUUGAAGUUCAGGUAACACUGAAUGGAGGACCGAACCGACUUACGUUGAAAAGUGAGCGGAUGAACUGAGGGUAGCGGAGAAAUUCCAAUCGAACCUGGAGAUAGCUGGUUCUCUCCGAAAUAGCUUUAGGGCUAGCCUCAAGUGAUGAUUAUUGGAGGUAGAGCACUGUUUGGACGAGGGGCCCCUCUCGGGUUACCGAAUUCAGACAAACUCCGAAUGCCAAUUAAUUUAACUUGGGAGUCAGAACAUGGGUGAUAAGGUCCGUGUUCGAAAGGGAAACAGCCCAGACCACCAGCUAAGGUCCCAAAAUAUAUGUUAAGUGGAAAAGGAUGUGGCGUUGCCCAGACAACUAGGAUGUUGGCUUAGAAGCAGCCAUCAUUUAAAGAGUGCGUAAUAGCUCACUAGUCGAGUGACACUGCGCCGAAAAUGUACCGGGGCUAAACAUAUUACCGAAGCUGUGGAUUGUCCUUUGGACAAUGGUAGGAGAGCGUUCUAAGGGCGUUGAAGCAUGAUCGUAAGGACAUGUGGAGCGCUUAGAAGUGAGAAUGCCGGUGUGAGUAGCGAAAGACGGGUGAGAAUCCCGUCCACCGAUUGACUAAGGUUUCCAGAGGAAGGCUCGUCCGCUCUGGGUUAGUCGGGUCCUAAGCUGAGGCCGACAGGCGUAGGCGAUGGAUAACAGGUUGAUAUUCCUGUACCACCUAUAAUCGUUUUAAUCGAUGGGGGGACGCAGUAGGAUAGGCGAAGCGUGCGAUUGGAUUGCACGUCUAAGCAGUAAGGCUGAGUAUUAGGCAAAUCCGGUACUCGUUAAGGCUGAGCUGUGAUGGGGAGAAGACAUUGAGUCUUCGAGUCGUUGAUUUCACACUGCCGAGAAAAGCCUCUAGAUAGAAAAUAGGUGCCCGUACCGCAAACCGACACAGGUAGUCAAGAUGAGAAUUCUAAGGUGAGCGAGCGAACUCUCGUUAAGGAACUCGGCAAAAUGACCCCGUAACUUCGGGAGAAGGGGUGCUCUUUAGGGUUAACGCCCAGAAGAGCCGCAGUGAAUAGGCCCAAGCGACUGUUUAUCAAAAACACAGGUCUCUGCUAAACCGUAAGGUGAUGUAUAGGGGCUGACGCCUGCCCGGUGCUGGAAGGUUAAGAGGAGUGGUUAGCUUCUGCGAAGCUACGAAUCGAAGCCCCAGUAAACGGCGGCCGUAACUAUAACGGUCCUAAGGUAGCGAAAUUCCUUGUCGGGUAAGUUCCGACCCGCACGAAAGGCGUAACGAUUUGGGCACUGUCUCAACGAGAGACUCGGUGAAAUCAUAGUACCUGUGAAGAUGCAGGUUACCCGCGACAGGACGGAAAGACCCCGUGGAGCUUUACUGUAGCCUGAUAUUGAAAUUCGGCACAGCUUGUACAGGAUAGGUAGGAGCCUUUGAAACGUGAGCGCUAGCUUACGUGGAGGCGCUGGUGGGAUACUACCCUAGCUGUGUUGGCUUUCUAACCCGCACCACUUAUCGUGGUGGGAGACAGUGUCA